Molecule: ribosomal RNA, 690 nt
Filed under: uncultured Spirochaetota bacterium
Lineage: Bacteria; Pseudomonadati; Spirochaetota
Description: bacterial SSU rRNA
Rfam family: Bacterial small subunit ribosomal RNA
Source: RNAcentral
UCAUUGGAUUUUGAUCUGAUGAUGAAAGGGGCUAAGGCCUCGCCUGAGGAUGUGCCUGCGGCUGAUUAGCUAGUUGGUGAGGUAAUGGCCCACCAAGGCGACGAUCAGUAGCCGGCCUGAGAGGGUGGACGGCCACACUGGGACUGAGAUACGGCCCAGACUCCUACGGGAGGCAGCAGCUAAGAAUCUUCCGCAAUGGACGAAAGUCUGACGGAGCGACGUCGCGUGGGUGAUGAAGGCGGAAACGUUGUAAAGCCCUUUUAUCGAUGAGGAAUAAGCUUGGGAGGGAAUGCCCGAGUGAUGACGGUAGUCGGUGAAUAAGCCCCGGCUAAUUACGUGCCAGCAGCCGCGGUAACACGUAUGGGGCGAGCGUUGUUCGGAAUUAUUGGGCGUAAAGGGUAUGCAGGCGGUUUUCCAAGUCUGGUGUGUAAGACCUCAGCUUAACUGGGGGAGCGCGCUGGAAACUGGGAGACUAGAGUACAGGAAGGGGAGUUGGAAUUCCAGGUGUAGGGGUGAAAUCUGUAGAUAUCUGGAAGAACAUCAGUGGCGAAGGCGAACUCCUGGCCAUGUACUGACGCUGAGAUACGAAAGCGUGGGGAGCAAACAGGAUUAGAUACCCUGGUAGUCCACGCCGUAAACGAUGUGCACUAGGUGUUGGGGUUUUUGAUCUCAGUGCCGUAGCUAACGCGU